ACUUAAAUUGAAGAGUUUGAUCAUGGCUCAGAUUGAACGCUGGCGGCAGGCCUAACACAUGCAAGUCGAACGGUAGUACAGAGAGCUUGCUCUCGGGUGACGAGUGGCGGACGGGUGAGUAAUGUCUGGGAAACUGCCUGAUGGAGGGGGAUAACUACUGGAAACGGUAGCUAAUACCGCAUAACGUCGCAAGACCAAAGAGGGGGACCUUCGGGCCUCUUGCCAUCAGAUGUGCCCAGAUGGGAUUAGCUAGUAGGUGGGGUAAUGGCUCACCUAGGCGACGAUCCCUAGCUGGUCUGAGAGGAUGACCAGCCACACUGGAACUGAGACACGGUCCAGACUCCUACGGGAGGCAGCAGUGGGGAAUAUUGCACAAUGGGCGCAAGCCUGAUGCAGCCAUGCCGCGUGUAUGAAGAAGGCCUUCGGGUUGUAAAGUACUUUCAGCGAGGAGGAAGGCAUUAAGGUUAAUAACCUUGGUGAUUGACGUUACUCGCAGAAGAAGCACCGGCUAACUCCGUGCCAGCAGCCGCGGUAAUACGGAGGGUGCAAGCGUUAAUCGGAAUUACUGGGCGUAAAGCGCACGCAGGCGGUCUGUCAAGUCGGAUGUGAAAUCCCCGGGCUCAACCUGGGAACUGCAUUCGAAACUGGCAGGCUAGAGUCUUGUAGAGGGGGGUAGAAUUCCAGGUGUAGCGGUGAAAUGCGUAGAGAUCUGGAGGAAUACCGGUGGCGAAGGCGGCCCCCUGGACAAAGACUGACGCUCAGGUGCGAAAGCGUGGGGAGCAAACAGGAUUAGAUACCCUGGUAGUCCACGCCGUAAACGAUGUCGACUUGGAGGUUGUUCCCUUGAGGAGUGGCUUCCGGAGCUAACGCGUUAAGUCGACCGCCUGGGGAGUACGGCCGCAAGGUUAAAACUCAAAUGAAUUGACGGGGGCCCGCACAAGCGGUGGAGCAUGUGGUUUAAUUCGAUGCAACGCGAAGAACCUUACCUACUCUUGACAUCCAGAGAACUUAGCAGAGAUGCUUUGGUGCCUUCGGGAACUCUGAGACAGGUGCUGCAUGGCUGUCGUCAGCUCGUGUUGUGAAAUGUUGGGUUAAGUCCCGCAACGAGCGCAACCCUUAUCCUUUGUUGCCAGCGGUCCGGCCGGGAACUCAAAGGAGACUGCCAGUGAUAAACUGGAGGAAGGUGGGGAUGACGUCAAGUCAUCAUGGCCCUUACGAGUAGGGCUACACACGUGCUACAAUGGCAUAUACAAAGAGAAGCGACCUCGCGAGAGCAAGCGGACCUCAUAAAGUAUGUCGUAGUCCGGAUUGGAGUCUGCAACUCGACUCCAUGAAGUCGGAAUCGCUAGUAAUCGUAGAUCAGAAUGCUACGGUGAAUACGUUCCCGGGCCUUGUACACACCGCCCGUCACACCAUGGGAGUGGGUUGCAAAAGAAGUAGGUAGCUUAACCUUCGGGAGGGCGCUUACCACUUUGUGAUUCAUGACUGGGGUGAAGUCGUAACAAGGUAACCGUAGGGGAACCUGCGGUUGGAUCACCUCCUUACCUGAAAGAA
Molecule: ribosomal RNA, 1554 nt
Filed under: Lelliottia amnigena
Lineage: Bacteria; Pseudomonadati; Pseudomonadota; Gammaproteobacteria; Enterobacterales; Enterobacteriaceae
Description: 16S ribosomal RNA
Rfam family: Bacterial small subunit ribosomal RNA
Source: RNAcentral